GAUAAAAAACAAUUCAAGGUCUGUUUGAUUAAAUGCGCAUAUACAUGGUAAUUUUCAUGCAGUAAGUUUAUCAUUUUAGAGAAUGAUGAGGGUAAAAAUGUUUUUCUCUAUUUUCAGGUAUGCAACAGGUGAACACAAGUUAUCUUCAGCCCUUUUUACCAAAUACCAGUUCUUGAGGGAAAAGACUGGCAGAGGAUGUGCUUAAAAACAAAUAAAAAAAAAGAAAGAUCACCUUUGAUUAAUGUUGAAGAAAAAAUGACAUUUGCUGCAGGUUCAGUAAAGUAAGAAAACAGAUCAUUUUGCCAGGAGUCCAUCAAAAAUAAUCGCAAUCAUUGUAGUGAUGGAGGAUCUAUCUGGUCAAGAUUUGUAUUAAAAGAGGUCAAGGUCAGUUGGGGUAAGAGUCACAGACAGAGUCUUGUGGCACAAACAUAAAUCAACGAGCGCUAAAGAAGAGCAGCUGGGGGAGAUAUUGUUACUGAGCUGGAUGAAGAAAAGCAAAUCUAUAUUGAUUUGGCACACAAAGGUGUCAGUGGUUGCUGCUGUCCUGCUGUUUCCACUUCUGUUAAAGCAGAGUCUGAGAUCUCUUUAUGUCAUCAGUGAGGAACCAGAUACACCCAACCCUGUGCUGUUUAUAAAGGGACAUGUCUUGGAUGCGGAGUCUCUUUAAGAAAUAAUGCUGGAAGUGGAGGAGGAGUUCUGUGAAGUAGACGAUGUAAACAC
Molecule: long non-coding RNA, 720 nt
Organism: Carassius carassius (crucian carp)
Lineage: Eukaryota; Metazoa; Chordata; Actinopteri; Cypriniformes; Cyprinidae
Exons: 4
Source: RefSeq, a predicted model, not a curated record